AGUGAACGCUGGCGGUAGGCCUAACACAUGCAAGUCGAACGGCAGCACAGUAAGAGCUUGCUCUUACGGGUGGCGAGUGGCGGACGGGUGAGGAAUACAUCGGAAUCUACUUUUUCGUGGGGAAUAACGUAGGGAAACUUACGCUAAUACCGCAUACGACCUACGGGUGAAAGCAGGGGAUCUUCGGACCUUGCGCGAUUGAAUGAGCCGAUGUCGGAUUAGCUAGUUGGCGGGGUAAAGGCCCACCAAGGCGACGAUCCGUAGCUGGUCUGAGAGGAUGAUCAGCCACACUGGAACUGAGACACGGUCCAGACUCCUACGGGAGGCAGCAGUGGGGAAUAUUGGACAAUGGGCGCAAGCCUGAUCCAGCCAUACCGCGUGGGUGAAGAAGGCCUUCGGGUUGUAAAGCUCUUUUGUUGGGAAAGAAAAGCAGCAGGUUAAUACCCCGCUGUUCUGACGGUACCCAAAGAAUAAGCACCGGCUAACUUCGUG
RNAcentral lists this ribosomal RNA (492 nucleotides) under uncultured bacterium. Its description in RNAcentral is "partial 16S ribosomal RNA". It matches the Rfam family "Bacterial small subunit ribosomal RNA", at positions 29 to 507 of the family's 1533-position model. The record is from RNAcentral.